This 417-nucleotide ribosomal RNA is filed under the name uncultured bacterium. RNAcentral's name for it is "bacterial SSU rRNA". It matches the Rfam family "Bacterial small subunit ribosomal RNA", at positions 61 to 524 of the family's 1533-position model. The record is from RNAcentral.
GUCGAACGAAGGCUUCGGCCUUAGUGGCGCACGGGUGCGUAACGCGUGGGAAUCUGCCCUUAGGUUCGGAAUAACAGUUAGAAAUGACUGCUAAUACCGGAUGAUGACGUAAGUCCAAAGAUUUAUCGCCUAGGGAUGAGCCCGCGUAGGAUUAGCUAGUUGGUGUGGUAAAGGCGCACCAAGGCGACGAUCCUUAGCUGGUCUGAGAGGAUGAUCAGCCACACUGGGACUGAGAUGCGGCCCAGACUCCUACGGGAGGCAGCAGUGGGGAAUAUUGGACAAUGGGCGCAAGCCUGAUCCAGCCAUGCCGCGUGAGUGAUGAAGGCCCUAUGGUUGUAAAGCUCUUUCACCGGGGACGAUAAUGACGGUACCCGGAGAAGAAGCCCCGGCUAACUUCGUGCCAGCAGCCGCGGUAAU